AGAAAACCCUGAGAUCUGAAGCUUGAUGUGGCAGAUGGAUUUGACCUCAUAUGCUGUUGUAUGUUCCAUCUCCAGGGAAGUGGAAAUGCUGAAGGACUUCCAGUCACCAGCUUGUCCUGCCUGUGUUACCUGACCCAACCAGAGAUUCAGACACACCCACUGUCUGUAGCUGCGUGCCAAUCCCUGGUACCCUGUGAUCCCACGGCGCUGAGCAUCUUCUUGAAUACCACACCUAUAAUCACAGCCAAUGAGAGGUGCACAAUGCAAUGUUCCAAAGCCAUCAGCAGAGGGCGCCAGAGUACUCAUUUAGUCCCUGAAGGUUGGUUGUUCCUCCUGCAUGCCACCGGUCUUUCUGUUACGCCACAACCACAUCCAGCCCCAC
This 382-nucleotide long non-coding RNA is filed under the name Oncorhynchus kisutch (coho salmon). RNAcentral describes it as "lncRNA (ENSOKIG00005007843.1)". Lineage: Eukaryota; Metazoa; Chordata; Actinopteri; Salmoniformes; Salmonidae. The record is from RNAcentral.